Molecule: ribosomal RNA, 824 nt
Filed under: uncultured Pseudomonadota bacterium
Lineage: Bacteria; Pseudomonadati; Pseudomonadota
Description: bacterial SSU rRNA
Rfam family: Bacterial small subunit ribosomal RNA
Source: RNAcentral
UGUAGCAAUACAGGUGGCGCACGGCGCACGGGUGCGUAACACGUGGGCAAUCUGCCCUCUGAUGGGGAAUAACCCGCCGAAAGGCGGGCUAAUACCGCAUAAAAUUCCUUGGACUCAUGUUCGAGGACUCAAAGGCGUAAGUCGUCGGAGGAGGAGCCCGCGCACGAUUAGCUAGUUGGUAGGGUAAUGGCCUACCAAGGCUUUGAUCGUUAGCUGGUCUGAGAGGAUGGCCAGCCACACUGGAACUGAGACACGGUCCAGACUCCUACGGGAGGCAGCAGUGGGGAAUCUUGCACAAUGGGCGAAAGCCUGAUGCAGCGACGCCGCGUGGGGGAUGAAGCAUCUCGGUGUGUAAACCCCUUUCGAUCCGGACGAAUACCUCGCAAGAGGGGUGACGGUACGGAUAUAAGAAGCCCCGGCUAACUACGUGCCAGCAGCCGCGGUAAGACGUAGGGGGCCAGCGUUGUUCGGAAUUACUGGGUGUAAAGGGUUCGUAGGCGGUGUGGCAAGUUGGGAGUGAAAUCUCUGGGCUCAACCCAGAGGCUGCUUCCAAAACUGCUGUGCUUGAGUGUGAGAGAGGCUCGUGGAAUUGCAGGUGUAGCGGUGAAAUGCGUAGAUAUCUGCAGGAACACCCGUGGCGAAAGCGGCGAGCUGGAUCACUACUGACGCUGAGGAACGAAAGCUAGGGGAGCAAACAGGAUUAGAUACCCUGGUAGUCCUAGCCCUAAACGAUCAGGACUUGGGGUGCCACCCGUUCGGGUGUCGUCCCGGAGCUAACGCGUUAAGUCCUGCACCUGGGGAGUACGGUCGCAAGACUGAAACUC